CACGGGGGGAGCAAGCGUUGUUCGGAAUUACUGGGCGUAAAGGGCGUGUAGGCGGCUGAGUAAGUGAGAUGUGAAAUCCCCCGGCUUACCCGGGGACCUGCAUCUCAUACUGCUCGGCUUGAGUAUGGGAGAGGAUGAGGGAAUUCCUGGUGUAGCGGUGAAAUGCGUAGAUAUCAGGAGGAACACCGGUGGCGAAAGCGCUCAUCUGGCCCAAUACUGACGCUGAAGCGCGAAAGCUAGGGGAGCAAACGGG
This 253-nucleotide ribosomal RNA is filed under the name uncultured bacterium. Its description in RNAcentral is "partial 16S ribosomal RNA". It matches the Rfam family "Bacterial small subunit ribosomal RNA", at positions 524 to 776 of the family's 1533-position model. The record is from RNAcentral.